CAGUAGCCGCGGUAAAACGAAGGGUGCAAGCGUUACUCGGAAUUACUGGGCGUAAAGCGUGCGUAGGUGGUGGUUUAAGUCCGUUGUGAAAGCCCUGGGCUCAACCUGGGAAUUGCAGUGGAUACUGGGUCACUAGAGUGUGGUAGAGGAUAGUGGAAUUUCCGGUGUAGCAGUGAAAUGCGUAGAGAUCGGAAGGAACAUCUGUGGCGAAGGCGACUAUCUGGGCCAACACUGACACUGAGGCACGAAAGCGUGGGGAGCAAACAGGAUUAGAUACCCCUGUAGUCCCUGUCUCUUAUAC
Molecule: ribosomal RNA, 301 nt
Filed under: uncultured bacterium
Lineage: Bacteria
Description: partial 16S ribosomal RNA
Rfam family: Bacterial small subunit ribosomal RNA
Source: RNAcentral